This 465-nucleotide ribosomal RNA is filed under the name Vreelandella stevensii. Its description in RNAcentral is "partial 16S ribosomal RNA". It matches the Rfam family "Bacterial small subunit ribosomal RNA", at positions 338 to 795 of the family's 1533-position model. Lineage: Bacteria; Pseudomonadati; Pseudomonadota; Gammaproteobacteria; Oceanospirillales; Halomonadaceae. The record is from RNAcentral.
CCUACGGGAGGCAGCAGUGGGGAAUAUUGGACAAUGGGGGGAACCCUGAUCCAGCCAUGCCGCGUGUGUGAAGAAGGCCCUCGGGUUGUAAAGCACUUUCAGUGAGGAAGAACGCCUGGUGGUUAAUACCCAUCAGGAAAGACAUCACUCACAGAAGAAGCACCGGCUAACUCCGUGCCAGCAGCCGCGGUAAUACGGAGGGUGCGAGCGUUAAUCGGAAUUACUGGGCGUAAAGCGCGCGUAGGUGGCUUGAUAAGCCGGUUGUGAAAGCCCCGGGCUCAACCUGGGAAAGGCAUCCGGAACUGUCAAGCUAGAGUGCAGGAGAGGAAGGUAGAAUUCCCGGUGUAGCGGUGAAAUGCGUAGAGAUCGGGAGGAAUACCAGUGGCGAAGGCGGCCUUCUGGACUGACACUGACACUGAGGUGCGAAAGCGUGGGUAGCAAACAGGAUUAGAUACCCGUGUAGUC